UCGGGGGUGGUGUAAUUGGCAACACUGCGGAUUCUGGUUCCGCCUUUGGGGGUUCGAGUCCUCCCCCCCGAG
This 72-nucleotide transfer RNA is filed under the name Actinomycetes bacterium. RNAcentral's name for it is "Actinobacteria bacterium tRNA-Gln". It matches the Rfam family "tRNA". From Rfam's summary of the family: Transfer RNA (tRNA) molecules are approximately 80 nucleotides in length. Their secondary structure includes four short double-helical elements and three loops (D, anti-codon, and T loops). Further hydrogen bonds mediate the characteristic L-shaped molecular structure. tRNAs have two regions of fundamental functional importance: the anti-codon, which is responsible for specific mRNA codon recognition, and the 3' end, to which the tRNAs corresponding amino acid is attached (by aminoacyl-tRNA synthetases). tRNAs cope with the degeneracy of the genetic code in two manners: having more than one tRNA (with a specific anti-codon) for a particular amino acid; and 'wobble' base-pairing, i.e. permitting non-standard base-pairing at the 3rd anti-codon position. RNAcentral also lists the same sequence under 1 other name. Lineage: Bacteria; Bacillati; Actinomycetota; Actinomycetes. The record is from RNAcentral.